CGGAUGGCUCAUUAAAUCAGCUAUGGUUCCUUAGAUCAUUUCAGUAAUUGGAUAACUGUGGUAAUUCUAGAGCUAAUACAUGCCUCGAAGUCUUGACCUCACGGGAUAGACGCACUUAUUAGAUCAAAACCAACGGGUUUCGGCUCACAGUUUUGAUGACUCUGGAUAAUCUUUUCACAGAUCGCACGGCCUAGUGUCAGCGAUAGAUCUUUCAAAUGUCUGCCCUAUCAACUUUAGAUGGUAGGUAAUUGCCUACCAUGGUGAUAACGGGUAACGGGGAAUCAGGGUUCGAUUCCGGAGAGGGAGCCUGAGAAACAGCUACCACAUCCAAGGAAGGCAGCAGGCGCGCAAAUUACCCACUCCCGGCACGGGGAGGUAGUGACGAAAAAUAACGAUACGGGACUCUUUCGAGGCCCCGUAAUCGGAAUGAGUACACUUUAAAUCCUUUAACGAGGAUCAAUUGGAGGGCAAGUCUGGUG
Molecule: ribosomal RNA, 479 nt
Filed under: Philosyrtis sp. 214386007
Lineage: Eukaryota; Metazoa; Platyhelminthes; Proseriata; Otoplanidae
Description: SSU rRNA
Rfam family: Eukaryotic small subunit ribosomal RNA
Source: RNAcentral